CCCGUUGCAAUCCGUCGCCACAAAGAUUAUACUGAGUCUCGUGAGGCUUCCUCACUAUGGUGAUAAACGCAUUGCAGGAGUAACUGAACUGGACCCGGGGGCGGUACCCGGCACCUCCACCAAAAGACAUAAGGGGGUGAGAUAGGAUCGACAGGCUGUGAAAAACUUUGCUUUUACCCGAAUCUGGUUCAUUCGAAAAUCAGAACCAACUCACAAGUGCCAACGACAAUGUUGCACUCGCUGCUUAACAUCUAAGUAAGCGCGGCUCGGGAGGUGCCGGGCAACAGAAACCUCCCACC
Molecule: transfer-messenger RNA, 299 nt
Filed under: Alphaproteobacteria bacterium GM7ARS4
Lineage: Bacteria; Pseudomonadati; Pseudomonadota; Alphaproteobacteria
Rfam family: Alphaproteobacteria transfer-messenger RNA
About the family: Bacterial tmRNA, also known as 10Sa RNA or SsrA, is named for its dual tRNA and mRNA-like properties.
Source: RNAcentral